This 374-nucleotide ribosomal RNA is filed under the name uncultured organism. Its description in RNAcentral is "partial 16S ribosomal RNA". It matches the Rfam family "Bacterial small subunit ribosomal RNA", at positions 527 to 896 of the family's 1533-position model. The record is from RNAcentral.
GUAGGUGGCAAGCGUUGUCCGGAAUUAUUGGGCGUAAAGCGCGCGCAGGCGGUUCUUUAAGUCUGAUGUGAAAGCCCACGGCUCAACCGUGGAGGGUCAUUGGAAACUGGAGAACUUGAGUACAGAAGAGGAAAGCGGAGUUCCACGUGUAGCGGUGAAAUGCGUAGAGAUGUGGAGGAACACCAGUGGCGAAGGCGGCUUUUUGGUCUGUAACUGACGCUGAGGCGCGAAAGCGUGGGGAGCAAACAGGGAUUAGAUACCCUGGUAGUCCACGCCGUAAACGAUGAGUGCUAAGUGUUAGGGGGGUUUCCGCCCCCUUAGUGCUGCAGCUAACGCAUUAAGCACUCCGCCUGGGGAGUACGGCCGCAAGGCUG